AAUAAUUCCCAUAAUUAACAUUGAAUUCAACUCCAAUUUAGAGAAGAACCCCAAAAUACCCUUGGUGGUGUCUCUUCUCAGUCAGCAGCAACUGGUUGUGUGAAGAGACGCAGAGCGCCAACCAUUGCAGAUAAGCACAUCCCCACCAAACAACCACGUGUCAUCCACCUGAUUCUCCAUCCUCUCUGGAUUUUCUUCCACAAUUUCCAUAUCAUUCCAUUCACGCGUUUCACACACACACAAANNNNN
Molecule: long non-coding RNA, 249 nt
Filed under: Lotus japonicus
Lineage: Eukaryota; Viridiplantae; Streptophyta; Magnoliopsida; Fabales; Fabaceae
Description: long non-coding RNA (LJAP_LNC000579)
Source: RNAcentral